Loxodonta africana (African savanna elephant) is the source of this 13775-nucleotide RNA transcript. It is a transcript of the gene named growth factor independent 1 transcriptional repressor, with no coding region annotated. The record is from RefSeq and is a predicted model, not a curated record. Lineage: Eukaryota; Metazoa; Chordata; Mammalia; Proboscidea; Elephantidae. The transcript is spliced from 8 exons.
GCGGUCUCUCCCGAAAGCAAGACUCAGUUUGAAAACUCUCGAAGCGCUGUGCCCGCGCCCUGACCCCGCAGGUCUCGUGUGGGCUGGUGCUGAGCUAGCUUUCGGGUGAUCCGGAGCUGACAGCGGCUCCAGGGACUCUUGGAGUGGAGCAGGAGCGCUCCAAGCCAUCAUGCCGAGGUCGUUCCUGGUCAAGAGCAAGAAGGCUCACAGCUACCACCAGCCGCGCUCCCCCGGACCUGACUAUUCCCUCCGCCUGGAGAAUGUGCCAGCGCCGGGCCGAGCAGACAGCACCUCGAGCGCGGGCGGGGCGGAGGCGGAGUCCCGGGGCCAUUUGUCCCCGGAGUCGCAGCUGACUGAGGCCCCCGACGGAGCCUCCCCAUCUCCUGGCAGUUGCGAGGGCAGCGUCUGCGAUCGGACCUCGGAGUUGGAGGACUUCUGGAGGCCUCCUUCGCCCUCCGUGUCUCCAGCCUCGGAGAAAUCGGUGUGCCCGUCGCUGGACGACGCUCAGGCCUUCCCCCUGUCCUUCAAGCCAUAUUCGUGGAGCGGCCUGGCAGGUUCUGACCUGCGGCACCUGGUGCAGAGCUACCGGCCGUGCGCGGCCCUGGAGCGUGGCGUGGGUCUUGGUCUCUUCUGCGAGCGCGCCCCGGAGCCGGGCCACCCUACCGCGCUGUACGGCCCAGAGCGGGCUACGGCCAGUGGCGGCGCCGGGGCCGGGGCACCAGGGGGCCGCAGCGCAGGAGGCGGCGGCGGCGGCGGCGGCGGCGGCGGCCCUGGCCUAGGGCUCUACGGCGACUUCGGGCCCGGGGCGGCGGGGCUGUACGAGCGGCCGACUGCGGCGGCGGGCGGACUGUACCCAGAGCGCGGCCACGGGCUGCACGCGGACAAGGGCACCAGCGUCAAGGUGGAGUCGGAGCUGCUGUGCACCCGCCUCCUGCUUGGCGGCGGCUCUUACAAGUGCAUCAAGUGCAGCAAGGUGUUCUCCACGCCGCACGGGCUCGAGGUGCACGUGCGUAGGUCCCACAGCGGCACGAGACCCUUUGCUUGCGAGAUGUGCGGCAAGACCUUUGGGCACGCCGUGAGCCUGGAGCAGCACAAAGCCGUGCACUCGCAGGAACGGAGCUUUGAUUGUAAGAUCUGUGGCAAGAGCUUCAAGAGGUCAUCCACCCUGUCCACACACCUGCUCAUCCACUCAGACACCCGGCCCUACCCCUGUCAGUACUGUGGCAAGAGGUUCCACCAGAAGUCCGACAUGAAGAAACACACCUUCAUCCACACUGGUGAGAAGCCCCAUAAGUGCCAGGUGUGCGGCAAGGCAUUCAGCCAGAGCUCCAACCUCAUCACCCACAGCCGCAAGCACACGGGCUUCAAGCCCUUCGGCUGCGACCUGUGUGGAAAGGGCUUCCAGAGGAAGGUGGACCUUCGGAGGCACCGGGAAACGCAGCAUGGGCUCAAGUGAGCACCCUAGCUGGCGACAGGCAGCAGUUAUACAACACUACGGAGGGCAGCCUCCCCUUGCCACUGACCCUUCUGACUUCUCAGGCCCCCCAGUCCAGUCUGCAGAUCCUACCACGGUGCUCACCCUUAGCUUUACUUCCUGGAGCUGCCAGAGCUGACGAAGAACCUUUUCGAAGUUCAGCCUGGAUCAGGAACCACGCAGCUUGCUGGGCUUUAUCCACACUGAGUAGGCCUCUCUACACCUACAGAUUCAAAGUCAAGUGAGAACAGACGAAAUCUUGAGCCCCACAGUCCUCCUCAUUCCCAGCCCUGCUCCACAGACAGGAAACUCCUUCAGGCUUGUUUCCUCCUCCUCCUGACCCACCCCAAAGCCUUGUGUGGAAGAAGAGGAAUCACCGUGUAUAAGUGUGGAUACGGUUCUAACAUCCCAUCCAACUCUGACUUCUUUGAGUUUUUGGAGAGACUAGAGGAGAGAGAAAGUAUGAGAUUGGUUAGCUGCAUCAUCUAAGGCAAGUUACAAAUCUAAAGACAUGUAAAUGAAAAAACCAAACCCACUGCCAAGGAGUCAAUUUCAACUCAUGGUGACCCCAUGUGUUACGGAGUAGAACUAUUCCAUAGGGUUUUCUUCGCUGUAAUCUUUACAGAAGCAGGUUUCCAGGCCUUUCUUCCACAGUGCUGCUGGGUAGGUUUGAACCUUUAGGUUAGUAGUUGAGCACAAAUAGUUUGCACCACCCGGGGACCUAAAGACUUAUGAAAAACAGUAAAAUUGGGGUCUCAGUUAUUUCUGGUCCUAUCCCACCUCUGGGAAUUUCUUGCUUAAACCAACCUUUUAAAAAAAAGCCAAACCCAUUGCUGUCAAGUCAAUUCCAACUCAUAGUGACCCUAUAGGACAGAGUAGAACUGCCCCAUAGGGUUUCCAAGGAAUGGCUGGUGGAUACGAACUGCUGACCUUUUGGUUAGCAGCUGAGCCCUUAACCACUGCGCCACUAGGGCUCCUUUUAAAAGAAAGAAACCAGAAUAAGGCCCUCAUCUAACUCUCAACAUGUGCUCUAACCUCUCCCAGCCAGACAUUCUGGGUAUGUAUGCGUGGCCCAUUGUGAAGACCAGCACAGCGCCCAUUGCCAUUCAGUCUUAUUUCACGCAUCUUGAUUGAGUGCCCAGUGCAUGCCUGGCACUCUUCUAGAGGACGGGGAUACAGCAGUGAGCACAACGCCCUUGUGAAACUUUAUUUAUUUGGUCACUGCUGAAUCUUCAGUUACCAGAACAGUGCCUGGCACACAGUAGAUCAAUAAGUAUUUGUUGAGGUGGUAAGCGAAUAAGCAGAGAAAAUAAACUCCUGCUUUAUCCAGUGGGCUUGCUCUGCUCCCUGCAGCAACAACCCAAACCCAUUACCAUGGAGUCGAUUCUGACUCAUAGCAACCCUGUAAGGACAGACUGAAACUGCCCUGUAGGGUUGCCAAGGCUGUGAAUCCUUACAGAAGAAGACUUCCACAUCUUUUUCCAGCGGAGUGGCUGGUGGGUUAGAAUCACCGACCUUUCAGUAGGUUGGCUGCCAAGCGCUUUACCCACUGCACCACCAGGGCUCCUUCUACAGCAACAAAGGGAAGACACAUUGCUUGAGCGCAAAGGAUAUUAAUGGAACACAUAUAUAGGACUCUGUUUCUGAGCUGGUGAGUAAGGGGGGCUCGGACACUGCUUUCUUCAGUCCCUCCAAAUCUCAGUCCUUGGCUGUCUUCCCUUGGUUUUCAACACCAUGUCUUUCCCUGUCCACUUCCUCAUAUUCAAAAUGUAAAUUUGUUUACUCGGUAAAGCAGUUUGAGAUAGUUUUCCAGAACUGGCAUGGAGAUGAGCAGUUGCAGCAUCCAGGAACUUCUUCAUUGUGUCCUGGGAGACACACUCCCUGUGAACAAAGAUGAAAGAGCAUCCUUCCCGCAGAGGUCACACUGCAUGCUGGGUGAUUGUUUCCAACCUGGUUUGAAAAAAAGAAGUUGUAUUGAAGGGUAAGUUGAAAUGAUUGAAAUCUAGCUCUACCCUUAUGAAAUAUAGAACUCUUGGUCUGUUUUCAUAAUCCCUGUUUACGCUAUCAAUGAGGAGUUGUAAUUUUGAUAUUAACAGUAUGUGUUUCUUGGGGGAAAAAAAAAUAUCUUGAUAUCCCCAGUUCAGAAUCAAAACAAAUUACUGUGCCUGUUACCAUGUGAAAUUUGAAGAUUGCAAAUAUCUCUCUUAAUGUUAUUACUUGACUCCAUUAAAAAUAGAUUGUGAAUAUUCCAUGUCACAUUAUUCAUGAAGCAGGCUCUAUGCCUUUUGUCUGCCGAGUAACAGUAGAAAAGGUAACAAGAGACACCAGAGCACACCUUUGUUUCUUUCACUAAAUUUUUAAUAACACCUCCAGCUAGCCAGUUGGUGAAGCUCAGCUCUUGCAUAAAAGUGGAAAAGCACAGCUAUCUCAAAGAGCAACCCUUUCAGCAGCUAAUUUGAGUUUGUGUUCAUCUAUACCCGAGAUGAUUAAAUUACCUAUCAAAUGUGCGGAGCUAUCAGGAUUCAGGCCACGUAAAAGGUGAACUUCAUCUGAUUGAUUUGAGACACGAAUGGAACAAUUGAGUUGAAAAGCCCCGCCUUAAUUAAAGGGAUAGCAGAGUAUCCCUCCCCGGCAGACUUCUUGACUGCGGUUGCCCUUGAAAAUUGGGUGGCAAUAGUGAUUUGACCCAUGUUGUGUUGCUGUGUGCUUGUUUGCUUAACCUGAUCAUUGAACAGAAAGAAAUGAACUCAGAGGAAGACCGAAAAGGACCUCACUACUUUCUACUGUGCAUUGCUAGAGUACUCUUUAAAUCUGUGCUGUUAUAUUAUUUCUACUGAAAGAAACUUCUCAGGAAGUGCAUACUACAUUUAUUUUAACAAUUUUUUUUCAUUCAUUAAGUUAAAUUUAAAAGCAAAAAAUUCAAAGAAAUCUCACCUCAAACUCUUCUAGCUUAAAAACCUAUGUUCAUUUUUUUAGUGUUUCUUUCCAAUCUUUAUCCACAUAUAUAAUAUAUAAAUAUAUUUUAAAAUUAUGUAUCUUAUCCUGUGGUCAGAGUAUUUACAAUUUAUGUCUAGAUAGCUCCUUUUUAUUUAUUUACAAUAGGGACACAUUUUAAAACUGUAAAAUAUAAAAAUGAGAAUCUGAACAAUUUUUAUUAAUCUUAUUGACAUCUUACUAUGUAUUAGGGAUUUUAUCAGUCAUUAGUAUAAAGUCCUCUCUGAAGUUUGGCUUUAAUGCUAUUUACUUUUUAAAUGAAACAUGUCAAGCAUACUGGAAAUUACAGCGAAUGAUAAGUAUCAGUGCACAUACCAUUUUACCAUAUUUGCUUCAGAUUUUAUGUUUGGAAUAAAAUUUUACAGAUAUGGUUGAAUAUCUUUCUGAAUGUUUCUACCUAACCCCCUUCCCUUUCUUCUCUCCUCAGAGGCAUCCACUAUACCAAAAUUGGUAUGUAACAUUGCUGUCAAUAGUUUCAUACAUUUACUCUGUACACAUAUCCAUGAACUAUAUAAUAAUACUGCCUAGCAUAUUUUAACUUUAUAUAAAUGUUAUCAUAGAGUCUAUAUCCUUCUGAAGCUCGCUUUUAUUUUGCUCAACAUUUUGUAUUUGAGACUUAGCCGUGUUGAUACAUGUGGCUUUGUUCAUUUAGUUUAACUGCUAAAUACAGAAUUUCAUUGUACGAAUACUUGGUGAUUUAUUUAUUCAUUCUCCUCUUAGGAGAGUUUUGGUUGUUCCCAGUUUUCUGUAUUACAGUUUUGAAGUGAGCAACCUUUUACAUAACUCCUUAUGAACAAGUUUCUUUAGGGUGUGUUCCUGGGAAUGGAUAUGUUGGAUAUUACCAAAUUGUUCUUCAAAGUGGUUGUACCAGUUUACAUUCUUACUGACAGUAUAGGAGAAGUUCUGUUGCUCUGCAUCCUGCCAACAUUUGGUAUUGUUGAACUUUAAAUAUGUUUGCCAAUCCGUGGGUAUGAAAUGUUUAUUAUUAUGUUAUUGUAAUUUACAUUUCCUGAUUCCUAAUGAGGUUGAGUAUCUUUUCAUAAGUUUAUUGGCCUUGCAGGUUUCCUCUCCUAUGAGAUGGCUAUUCAUGUACUUUGUUCAUUUUUCCUUUGGGUUGCUUCUUUUUACUGAUUAAAAAAAAUAUAUAUAUAUAUAUACAUGCAUUAAAAAAUACAUAGUCAUUGUUUUGUUAAGUGUGUUGCAUACAUCUCUCAGUCUGUAGCUUGCUUUUUCACUUUGGUUGAAGAGAGGAUUUUUUGUUUUGUUUUUGUUUUUGUGUUACUGUGGUCACAUGUAUCAGUCAUUCCCUUUAUGGUCUUAUGCUUUUUUAUGUUUUAAUUAAGAAACUCUUCCCUAAUUGGUGGUCAUAAAGAUCAUCUCCUAUAUUUCUACAAAUUUAAAAAAUUUUACUCAUAACACUAGCUUUCUAAUGGACUUGCAUGCCUGUGGUAUGAAGUAAGCAUCUAAUUUUCUUUUGUUUUCCACAUGGAUAGCCAAUUGCACCAGCAUUCUUUGUUGCAAAUUCUACCUUUUUCCUUGUGAUUGUAAUGCCACCUCUGUCCUAUGCAAGCUUUCGUUUCGGUAUGGUUCUGUUCUGGGCUUGCUGAUCUGUUCCACUGGUCAUUUCCUCUGUAUGUCAAAGCCAUAGUGUCUUAAUUUAAAUUAUAAUAAACUCUUAGUAGCUAGCAAUAGCUAGGAGCCUCCCUCCCUCUGACCUGUUUGUUCCUCUUCAGGAAUAUCUUGGCUACCCUUGGCCCUUUGAGUCAUGUGAAAAACUCUGUUGGGAUUUGGGUUUUUAUUAAAUAUAUUGUUUAAUUUGGGGGAGAAUUGAAAUUAUUUUGACAUUAAUGCUUCCUAUAAAAAAUUUUUUUUUUAUCCAUAAAUAUGGUAUAUUGCUCAUUUAUUUAGAUCUUCCUUUGUGUCUUUCAAUAAUGUUUUGUAACUUUCUGCAUAAAGGCCUUGCACAUAUUUCUUCGUUUCUUUUUGGUUCAUUGUUCUUAUGGUUAUUUUUAAAACUACAUUUUCUAAUUGCUGCUGGAGUGUGAGAACAAAAUUAAUUUUUUUAACAUUGAUCAUGUACCCUACAACUUUGCUGAAUCCACUUUUUAGUUCUAAUAGUUUGUUGUAGAUCAUUUUAAAUUUUCUAGAUAGAUAAUCAUAAGAUACUCAAAUGAUGAUAGCUUUGUUUUAUUCUUUCCAGCUUACUCUUCUUCCCUUAUUGCACUAGCUAGGGGCAGAAUAGCAGGCAUCUUUAUCUUGUUCCUAACUUCAAGGGAAAUGCUUUAAAAUUUUCUGUUUUUGUUAGGCGUAUAAUGGAUAACUUUAAAAAUCACAGUAAGAACUUCUAUUUGUGUUUGAUAAGAACUUCUGUUUUUUUUUUUUCUGUUUGUAUAUAUAUGUGCUUUUAAUCAUUAAUGGGUAUUUAAUUGUAUGAUUUUUCUGCAUAUGUUGACACUUAGGAGUUUUAUACUUUGUUAAUGUGGCGAAUGACAUUUAUAGAUUUUCUAAUAUUAAGUUAUCCUUGUAUUGCUGGAGGGGGGAACAAACCCCAACUUGGUCAGUUUUUAAAAACUGCAUUGCUAAUUUGGUUUUGUUGAACUUUACUCAGGACUUUUACAUUUACGCUUAUUAGUGACUGAUUUAUAAUCUUUAUUUCUUGUACUGUCCUUGUGUGAUUUUGAUAUCAAGAUUUAAAUCAUCUCAAAAUGAAUAGAGCAGCAUUUCCUCUUUUUCUGUUUUCUGGAAUAACUUGUGUAGGGUUGGGAUUUUUUUUGAGUAUUUGAUAAAAUUUAUCUGGGCUUUUUUUGGUGGGGGAAGGCAAAGGGAGGGGGUACAUUUUAAACUCUAGUGACUGAAAGUCCCUUCAGGUUUUCUGUUUCAUCUUAAAUCAAAUGUAAUAAAUUAUCUUUUUCAGGAUGUUUUCUGUUUCUUCUAAAUUUUCAAAUAAUUGCAACAAAUGUUUCAUAUUGUCCUCUGAUUAAAAAAAAUCUCUUGCCCAUAAUUAUGUUUAAUUUUUUAUUCUAGUGUUUUUUAUUUGUGCCUUUUAACUUUUUUACAAUCAGUUUUUACCAGUCUUUGCAGCACAUGUUCAUUGUCAUUCAUUUCUACAUCUUUCCUAAAAUGAUUUCUUAUUGAACAAAUACAUUAUUUAGAAGUGCCAUUAAAAAUUUGAAACAUAGUUUUUUCAGGAAUUUCUAUUAGUGAUUUGUAAUUUAAUUACAUUUUAACCAGAAAACAUGAUUUGCGUGAUAUUAAUUCUAAGAUAUUUGUUGAGAUUUAUUUUGUGGCCUCAUACAUGAUCAAUUUUUAUAGAUGAUGUGUGCUGGAAAGAAUGUAUAUUUUCUAAUUGCAGGGUGCAAAGUUCUGCAUGUGCCCAUUAGAUUAAGCUUGCAAUUACAUUGUUCAGCUCCUCUAUAUCCUAAUUUUUUGCCUGCUCCAUCAAUCAUUGAGAAAACUGAGCUAAAAUUUCCUAUUGGUGAUGGGGUUCUAAAUUUUUCUUGUGAAUUUUGUCAACUUUACUUUUGCCUAUUUUGAGGCUCAUCAAAUUUAAAUUCUUAUGCUUUCCCAGUGAACUGUUCCUUUCUAUCAUAUUUUUUGUGAUACUCAUUUUUAAUUACCCUUUUUUUAGAGUUUAUUUUGUCUGAUGAUAAUGUAGUUACACCAGCUUUCUUUUGGUUGGUUUUUGCAUAGCAUUUUUUGUGUUCUUUUAAAUCUUUCUAUGCCUUAUGCUUUAGGUAUGUAUCAACUGAAUAUUGUUUACCUUACUUCCAGACAUAAGUAAAAUACAACUUCCAGUUGAAACUUUCAUUUCGGUACUGUUUUGAUUUGUUGUACACCUGACCUUUUUGAUCAAUGUAGCUUAAUACGAACCUGUUUGCUGUUCUUCCUUUUCCAGUAAGCUUUCCCUGAUAAUAAAAGAAAUCACAUGCACACAUAGGAGAAAAAAGUACUCAAUUACUCUGUAUAAAAGAAGAUGUUACUGCUUUAUCCUGCCUGUUCAUUUUCUGGUAUUAGAGGAAGGAUCCUAAUUUUCAAGGUUUUUUUUUUUUUUUUUUAAGCCUGAAAUUAUUGUAACUGUAGAGAAGUAAAAGCAGGAAGUUAGAUCUGCUUCUUGAUGCGAGUUUUACAAACUUCAUUGAGAAAAAAAAAAUUUUUUUUUUUUUUGGCAAAUUAGGGAGCCUGGUUUCAAUUCUGUCUUUUAACGUGAAUUAGUUUCCUAGGUUGCCCUUUCUGAGAAGUAGAACUGAUUGGCAUGCCUUCAUAAGCUUCUGCUGCAAUGGCAACUCCUCAGCUGUUCUUAGGGUAAGGAAGGUCUCGUGGAGGCUUCUUGGGACUUUUUGGGAGAGUCAGAGACCAUCCUUUCAUGACCAGUUAUCAGACAUGCCUGUGAAUAUUGCACCUCCUGGACAUACCUUCCCAGAGAUUUCAUACGAACUUGACUUCCUCUUUCCCUGUACUGAAACCACGGUUCAUGGGAUUCUAAUAAACAAGAGUAACAAGUUCUUAACUGGGCGGAGAGAGCCCCACCGCAGUAUCAUAGUUUUACCCACCAUCUUUCUGACUUACCUUUGUGUGGUUAUUGGUUACAUCAUGUGUUUAGGUCCUAUAUAAAGGACAUAUAAAAUUUUAAAAGUAAAGAUAGAAUCUGCAAUAACGGGCUCAAACAUACACUACUAUUGAGAGGAUGGUGCAGGACCGGGCAAUGUUUCAUUCUGUUACACAUAAGGUCACUAUGAGUUGGAGCCGACUCAGUUGGUACCUAACAACAACAAUAAAGACAGCAUCAAAUGAACUCCAAAGCUUUUUCAGCACAAAGGUUCUCUGACUCUAAAGUCCUUCCUUUUUUCUAAGAGAUUACAAUCAGAACUGAAGCAACAACUACAGAGGUAUGUUUAAGGUAUGUCCAACUCAGUCCUUUCACUCAGAGGAGAGUUAAUAUCCACAAGCGAUGAUUCACUUCCACUAACUGCCCAAAAAUGGAAGCUUUGUGAAUAGCUAUUUCAUCUGGUGAUUUAUCUCUCCAUCUGUGAUUCAGAAAGGGCAGAAAUGAGCAGUUCUCGUCAGUAAAUGCUUACAAAUUUGUGUCAGCUGAUUGUGGUUCUGUGUAUGUACCAUAUAUAAAGUUUUAAAGCAUUCAAAAACAAACAAAAAAAUCCAUUGCCAUCGAGUUGAUUCUGACUUUUAGCAACCCUAAAGAACAGAGUAGAACUGGCCCAUGGGGUUUCCAAGGAGUGGCUGGGGGAUUUGAACUGCCAACCUUUUGGUUAGCAGCUCAGCUCUUAACCACUGUGCCACCAGGGCUCUUUUAAAACAUUAGACGAUAGCAAAGUCAUACAGUGCUAAAAUGACUUAAUUUUGUUUGAUGAUUCACAAGGCACUUCAGCAUAUUUCAAGCCUCAGGUCAUCAUCAGGUAUAUAAAAUACUGGUCAAGACACAGUUCUCUGGCUGACAGCCCGCUGGGCAUAUCUGCUCCCAUCAGGCACACGGAAGAGUGACCUGUGGGCAGUGAACUGGGAGACAGUUUGCAGUCCAAGCACUAGUGCCAAAGAUUGAUCUCAGGGCACCUACAAACUUAUACUUUGUGGCAUCACUAAGGAUUCCCUGGGGUCUACAUGGCACUUUAUUUUCCACUGGUUGCUGUUGUUUCAAGGAGCCCUGGUGGCACAGUGGUUAAGUGCUCAGCUGCUAACUGAAAGGUUGGCAAUUGAACCCACCAGCCGUUCCAUGGGAGAAAGAUGUGGCAGCCUGCUUUUGUAAAGAUCACAGCCUUGGAAACCCUAUGGGACGGUUCUACUCUGCCCUGUAAGAUUGCUAUGAGUUGGAAUUGACUCACGGGCAACAGGUGUUGUUAGUUCAAGACUGGUAGGUUCCAGGUAUGAGAAAUGAAUCUUAAGUUUCCUGGGGAUCUUCUCCUAUUAGCUUUGGGAAACAGUAUAGUUUACUGAAAAACAGCAUUGAAUUGGGAGUCAGGAGAUCUGGCUAUAAAAAAAAUAGUCUCCUAUUAUCAGUGUAUUUGUCAGAGUAAAGAGCACUAGUUGCUCUAAUAAACAACCUCAGAAUUUCAGCGGCUUACACGAUAAAAGUUUAUUUCUCAUACAUGUGAGAGUUGACUCAGGUGUUCAGUAGGCUGCCUUCGCAGGUGAGUGGAUGAUUUCAGCUCUCUCUAUCUUGUGGUGCUGUCUUCUAGAGAUUUCUUGCAGUCUUCUGCUGGAUUAUCUGCAUUUAGCUGGCUGAUGAAGACAGCGCAUGGAGGACCAUAUGGAACCUUUUAAAGCCAGACUGAGCACUGGAUAGAUCACUUCUGCUCACAUCCCACUGGUCGGAAUCCAACACAUGAUCCCAACCUAAUUGCAAAGGAAGCUAGGAAAUGUCAUCUUUCUUGGGAACAGAAAACGGAACUGAUGAGCAUCUAUCCAGUUUCUGCCAGAGCCUUAACCAGCUCUUCAAGCUUGGACUUAAACCAUUUCUGACCCUAUUUCCUUCUUUGUAAAGUGAGGAAGACAGACUAAAUACUCUGUAAGGGACUUUCCAAGUCUGACCAUCUCAGUUCUGUGAUUCUGUCAAAACCCUGGCAGGGCUCUGGAAGCACUUAGCUUGGUGGUGGUUUCUUUCAGCCCAAGAGGGAAGAAGAAGGAUUAGUGUUAGCCCAAGGAUUCUCUAGCCUAAACCUGCAGCCUCCAGGAAGUUAUUCAUUUCCAGGAGUUCCCAAGAAUCAAGAUGACUACCCAGGGUGUAGAAUCACCCUAGGUCAUGGUGCUAGCACCCCGUUUCCGGUACUAAUGUGGCCAUGACACUUCCCCCUAAUCUUCUGAUUCUCAUGCUAUGAAAAGCAGUGACCCCUUGGGCUCCUCCCUAAAAUGCUUAAGGACCAACAGAGAGAAGCCAAAGCCAUGUACAGCCCCUGGCCCCAUAUAAUCUGCAAGAGGGCUUCACAAAAGGCUAGGCUGUUUCAGAGUGAUUGUGUUCACAAGUUAUCUUCUUUUCUGUUUCAAUGAUUUGUAAUUUGUUUCCUCUUUUAGUAUCUGAUGCGCCAUUGGGUUUAGACUCCACAAGGUCAGAGAUUAUGUCUGAUUUACAGCUGUAUCCCCAGGGCUUAUAAUAAUGCCUGGCAUAAAAUAAAUAUUUUUUGAAUGAAUGAAUAUUACUUUAAAAUAUUUUCAUUUAGACUAAGUUCAGGGCAAUAGAAUUUCUUGGGGGAAAAAGUUUUAGAAAUACAUACACAUAUUCACCUACUCAAUAAUUAGCUAAGUCUACCCUGUGGAUGCCAGAGAUUUCAGAACAAUGAGAAAGACUGUCCCUCAUGGCCUAGCCUAACCUUGACACAGAAGGGUUAGAACUGAGGGUACAAGUGAUGUUCCCCCAAGCCAGAAAGGACCUGCUGUUUGCAUUCGGUAGGCACCAAACUGUACCUUACAUGGAACAGUGGUCGUUUUCAUGAUAUGAGCAAGCUUCUCUAAACCAGUAAGUGUACAUGUCUUUUUUAAUCCCUUGGAGUAUAGGAAUUAGCUUUAUUUCUUAUGUGAGUCUCUCAGAGAGAAAAUUCGGACGUCCUGAAGCUCUUAUUGUCCCUGAAGAAAAGGUGUGAUUGAUUGUUCCUUAGCUUAUGCUUUUGGUUUCACUAUGAUCAUCGUCGCUUUGAGACAUCUGGUUUCCUUAGCUCACCACCCCACCUUACAAAUUAAGCCCAACUUGGCAGAUAAAUCUGCAGCAAAAAGGAGCAGAGAUAUCAAAUAAUAGAUGUCAAGACGCUGGUGCAGAGUUGCCACUCCAAUGGCCCUGACAUAGUUGUUUUUAUCAUUAUUAGUAUCUUCUAAUAUUAGUAACUGCCACUUGUUAAGACCUCGUUUGUUGUUGUUAGGUGCCGUCCAGUUGGUUUCAAUUCACAGCAACCCUAUGUAGAACAGAACAAAACACUGCCCAGUCCUGCACCAUCCUCACAAUCAUUGUUAUGCUUGAGCCCAUUGUUGCAGCCACUGUGUCAGUCCAUCUCAUUGAGGGUCUUCCUUCCGCUUUUACACUGACCUUCUACUUCACCAAGGGUGAUGUUCUUCUCCAGGGACUGAUCUCUCCUGAUAACAAGUCCAAAGCAUGUGAGAUGUAGUCUCGCCAUCUUUGCUUCUCAGAUUUGUUUGUUCUUCCAAGACAGAUUUGUUCGUUCUCUGGCAGUCCAUGGUAUAUUCAAUAUUCUUUGCCAAUGCCAUGAUUCAAAGUCAUCAGUUCUUCAUUCGUCCUUAUUCAUUGUCCAGCUUUUGGAUGUUAAGACCUUACUCCAAGCUAAGUAUGUGCUAACGGCCCUGCAUAAUUUUCCCAUUUAAUCUUUAUCAAUUUUUCAACUUCUUAUGAAGUAUCUAUCACUAUUAUUACCAUUUUUAGGUGAGUAAACCGAGGCAUAGAAAGGUUAAAUGAUUUUCCAAAGUCACACAGAUAAUAAGUGGCACACUGGAAAUUGAUCUAGGCAGCCUGACCCUCAAGGCUGAUCUCAAAUUAUUUGUACCUUUCUUUGGGCCAGCUCAUGUCAUUGGUUGAUUUCAUUUCUCAAUUAGAUCAUGACAAAUUUUUAUUCUGGAAACUCUGGUAAUCUUACUAUUAAAUCACAUACAUUCAAGUAAGAACAAUGUGUUCCAGUAUGUGUCUUCUCUCAAACAAUUCACAAGAAUAUUUAAGAGACUAGCUAAGCAUUGUUGAUGGCAGCAACCUACAAACCACCUCUCCUGAGCUGGGGACCAUUCCAUCGCCCAGUGCCCUUUGAUGCCAUUGCUCUAAUUGUUUCCACCUGACUGUGUCCCCAAAUAAAUAGAAUUGUGUGAGAUGUCAGAUCCAGCAGUGUACCAGGGUCUAGAGGAAAAGCUGCACUCUCUUUAUUCACUAACUUAUUAAUUCCAAAAUCCAAAAUGCAAAUACGUUUUCUGGCAGCGUUUGGGAAGUGGGGUUAAACAUUCCAUCUUUGAUUACAGACAGAAGCUUCUCACAGAUCAGAUAUUAUUCUCUUUUUUUAUUGCUGUGGAACUCGCUAAGCACCAACUUCCAGAUUCACUUAAAAAUUUCAUUAUGUAACAUUUGUUGUAUACAGAGAAUAUAUGGAAUGUAAUUGUAAGUUGUGAGUAUAACAAUAAAAUUGAACAACAAUGAUCCCAGCCCAAGUUUAAAAACUGCACUUCGUCAAUACUAUUGAUGCUACCUGUAUGCUCUGGCCCUCAUUCAUUCCCCUCCAUCUCACUUUUUUUUAAAAUUGUUCUUUAAGUUUACAAAUCAAGUCAGUGUCUCAUACAAAAACUUAUACACACCCUGCUAUGUAACCCUAGCUGC